Long non-coding RNA from Gopherus evgoodei (Goodes thornscrub tortoise), 2219 nucleotides. RefSeq lists it as uncharacterized. The record is from RefSeq and is a predicted model, not a curated record. The transcript is spliced from 3 exons. Lineage: Eukaryota; Metazoa; Chordata; Testudines; Testudinidae.
CUCUCCUCCCGGUAGCUGCCUGGAGUGUCCGUCUGCCCCCUCGUGUCAGCGGCCAUCGCGGGAUCUGGCCCGUAGUCCUACCGCGGGUGGGGUCCCGGCCCUGCAGACCGCAAAGGGCUGCAGGCGGGCUCACCACCAGGGCGGCCCAGAAACCCUCUGCCCCUACGCAUUAGGCAGCAGGGCGAGGGCGCAGCCCGCGUAGUCUGUCUUUGCAAGUCGUCUUAACCGUGGAGGCACCGUCCGUCUGCGUCACCCGGUGUAAGCGGCGCCUCGCAGCCACCAAGUGACACUGUCUGCACGGCGGUGGGCAGUUGGUUGCUGGACCGUUACAGGACAGCGAAAAACCUCUGUCCUAACAUCAGGGCUCUGGACUGCUUCUGGAAUUGCCCAGUUUCUAGUAUUGCCGGACCCAAGUAUUCCAAAAUCCCACGUGGCUUAAAAAUCACAGGCCUCUAAAAAUAAUAGCAUUAGAAACUCUUUGGUGCUUUUUGGUUUCCUUCUGGUUCUUGAACCUUUGAAAGGAGGUCCCAUUUUCAAGAUUUUCUCUGCAAGCCCAAAAACUGCUCUUUUAUUUAAUAAAUAACCUGAGAUGGUCAUGGCUGACAGAUGGGACUUCAAGAUGACCUCAACGUCGUGUCCUGCUUCUGCUCUUCGUGCUCACUUAAGUCUUUCCUGGUCCUUGCCACUGAAUGCCUCCAUGCAUUAAGUUGUGCCCUAUCAAUGCAGGAGGACUGCAUGAGCUCGGAAAACCUGUCAUCGUGGAGGACACUGGCAAUGGAUGGUCCGUCUUAGGAUCUCUGGAACAUCGGAGGAUCUGGCUGUCUUACUGCCGAAGCAGGAGAUCAACAGAUUUGAGCUGACGGCAAGCCUUCACUAGAUCCUUUGGGGGAUUACAGGAAUCAGGUAAGUAUCAGAGUCCUUGACAGAUGUUAGUAGCCAAAGUCUUGAUCCGAUGCUGUGCAAAAAACCUGGACGUGGCUGCCUCGAUGAUGGACAGCCCCUGUGUCAUCGCUGACAGUUCCUUAUAUGCUCUCUGUGGUGUGCCUUUCUGAGGCACACUCACAGGCAUACUCUGACAGGCACACACCAGUUCUAGCCAGUUCUCAGUCCCUCAAGUUCUGCCUGGAAACAAGAGUUUUGGUGGAAAAAUGCCAUGAAGAAGGGCACCAAGAUGGAGUUCAAACCCUCCCUAACAUAUGCACCAUCUUGAAAUUCUAAUCUCCAUUUUGAAUUGCAACCACAUUCCUAACAGAAUAUAAUCAUGUACCAAAAACCACCUUGCACCAUAUAGUUAUCUGGGCAGGUAUUUGGUUACAAGAAUUUACACAUUUUAUGAAAUAGAUGAUAAACUCAAGAGAUUUACCAACUUUGGAACAAAGUGUGAUGGAGCUUAUAAAUUCAAAUUGCUGCUUGGCUCUGGAUUUAAAGAGUUUACAGCACACCUUUGUUGUACAGGCUAAUUCACCCUGCAGAAAAAAUAUACAAGCUUCAGUCAUAUAUUCUAUACAGCUUGUAAAGUGUGCAAGCUGAAUAGUAGCAUGGGAUUUUCCCUUUCUUAAAACAGAUUAAAUGCAAAAAAUCCUAAAAAUGCAAUAUUAAACUUGUGUAAUUUAUCUUUGAUCAAGAAUCCUGAGCAAGCUUAUUUACUGACCGUGGUCAGAAAGCAAAUUAUUGGUGCGUUAGAAACAUUUUAACACAAAAAAUUUCUUAGUGAAACCAAUGGCUCAGAAAUUUCAAUAGAAGUUCCUGCCAUGUUGGCAUGCAAGUACAUGAAUUCAAAAGUGGAGAUCUGUUCAGAUGGUUUCUUUGAAUAGGUUAUUGAAGAUUUAUUGUUUGUAUUUAAUACAUACCAUUAAAUACACACAUGCAAUAUGGACAAGGUAGCAUUACAGUGUAAACAAUGUAAGAAUAUUCAGAAAUAAGUGCCUAAUUGUUAGGCUUUCAAGUCCAUACUUGGGGACCUAAACAAAUGACCUUAUUUUCAAAGUGACUGCCACCCAGAAGCUCCCAUUUGGGUACCUAAAUAUGAACUUGAGAGCCUUGUAGUUUUGAAAGUCUUGACCCUUAAGAUUUUGGAAUUCAUGCAUUUAAAAAAAAAGUUUUAGCUGUCAUUAUGGUAGUAGUGCAGACCUUCUGCUUAAUGUAUGACCAGGGCCGGCUCCAGGCACCAGCAUUCCAAGCUGGUGCUUGGGGCGACAUUCUGCAAGGGGUGGUAGUCC